This 483-nucleotide ribosomal RNA is filed under the name uncultured bacterium. Its description in RNAcentral is "partial 16S ribosomal RNA". It matches the Rfam family "Bacterial small subunit ribosomal RNA", at positions 30 to 507 of the family's 1533-position model. The record is from RNAcentral.
UUGAACGCUGGCGGCAGGCCUAACACAUGCAAGUCGCGCGGAUGAAGGGAGCUUGCUCCUGGAUUCAGCGGCGGACGGGUGAGUAAUGCCUAGGAAUCUGCCUGGUAGUGGGGGAUAACGUCCGGAAACGGGCGCUAAUACCGCAUACGUCCUGAGGGAGAAAGUGGGGGAUCUUCGGACCUCACGCUAUCAGAUGAGCCUAGGUCGGAUUAGCUAGUUGGUGGGGUAAAGGCCUACCAAGGCGACGAUCCGUAACUGGCCUGAGAGGAUGAUCAGUCACACUGGAACUGAGACACGGUCCAGACUCCUACGGGAGGCAGCAGUGGGGAAUAUUGGACAAUGGGCGAAAGCCUGAUCCAGCCAUGCCGCGUGUGUGAAGAAGGUCUUCGGAUUGUAAAGCACUUUAAGUUGGGAGGAAGGGCAGUAAGUUAAUACCUUGCUGUUUUGACGUUACCAACAGAAUAAGCACCGGCUAACUUCGUG